CAAAGCGCCGCGCAAAUCGUCCAGGGGGGACGGGGAGGCCGCGAGAGAGGCCUAGCGCCGGAUUUACGGCGCAGCGGGAGGCCGUGCGGCAAAUCUUGGAAGCAAACAAGGCCGCUGCGAAGCUCCACCCCCGGCCUCGCUCUAGAUUUACGCCGGAUGAAGUUGCAAAGCAUUUUACUGUGGUUUGUGAGUGCGCACCAGGGCCUGUUAAUUAAAAAUGUCUCUCGCACGGCAGUGGAUUCGCGGGAGAGAGAGAGGCUAAAAAGGAAGUCUCUGGCAAUUUCCAGCUCAGCCGCAGUCAAGCAGAAGCGCGGAGGACCCUAGAAACUUGUGCGUCGAUGCCAUGAGAGAGGAAGGCGAAUCAAUCUAGCGGGAAGUUCUCCUGCGCAUAGCAGCCAACUCCUACGAGCCGAGGGGACCCCCAAUAAAAUAUUUGAGGGCCCCCCCCAAAAAAGUUGAUGGGCAUUGCCAAUAAAAUAGUGUGCACCAUGUCAUGCGAUCGAUUAUGCUGGUUUACCUGGCCCC
RNAcentral lists this long non-coding RNA (525 nucleotides) under Podarcis lilfordi (Lilford's wall lizard). The record is from RNAcentral. Lineage: Eukaryota; Metazoa; Chordata; Lepidosauria; Squamata; Lacertidae.